RNAcentral lists this ribosomal RNA (305 nucleotides) under uncultured bacterium. RNAcentral's name for it is "bacterial SSU rRNA". It matches the Rfam family "Bacterial small subunit ribosomal RNA", at positions 338 to 641 of the family's 1533-position model. The record is from RNAcentral.
CCUACGGGGGGCAGCAGUGAGGAAUAUUGGUCAAUGGGCGGGAGCCUGAACCAGCCAAGCCGCGUGAGGGAAGAAGGUACAGCGUAUCGUAAACCUCUUUUGUCAGGGAACAAAGGCGGGGACUAGUCCCCGGAUGAGGGUACCUGAAGAAAAAGCAUAGGCUAACUCCGUGCCAGCAGCCGCGGUAAUAGGGAGGAUGCGGGCGUUAUCCGGAUUUAUUGGGUUUAAAGGGUGCGCAGGCGGCCCGGUAAGGCAGAGGUAAAAGCACGGGGACCAACCCCGGCGAGCCGUAGAAACUGGGGGGG